GACGUAGGGCGCGAGCGUUGUCCGGAUUUAUUGGGCGUAAAGAGCUCGUAGGCGGCUUGUCGCGUCGUCUGUGAAAUCCCGCGGCUCAACCGCGGGUCUGCAGUCGAUACGGGCAGGCUAGAGUUCGGUAGGGGAGACUGGAAUUCCUGGUGUAGCGGUGAAAUGCGCAGAUAUCAGGAGGAACACCGAUGGCGAAGGCAGGUCUCUGGGCCGAUACUGACGCUGAGGAGCGAAAGCGUGGGGAGCGAACAGG
Molecule: ribosomal RNA, 253 nt
Filed under: uncultured bacterium
Lineage: Bacteria
Description: partial 16S ribosomal RNA
Rfam family: Bacterial small subunit ribosomal RNA
Source: RNAcentral